UUUCCACAGCUAAACAUCAGACUCUUACUUAACAUGGGCAAGGAAAGGACCAGCGUCAACAUGGCCGUCGUCGGCUACUACUAGAUCUUCCAUCAGCAGAUGGACGGCUAGUACAACACGGACAUGACCCGGCUUCUGUACACGGACACACUCUGGACACGGACAACACGAUGCUAGCUCUCCCGGACCACAGCUAAUUCUAUUUGUAGGCCUACAUUGACCAAAUAAAUCAAAAUUAUCCGUA
This is a long non-coding RNA of Homalodisca vitripennis (glassy-winged sharpshooter), 244 nucleotides long. RefSeq lists it as uncharacterized. Lineage: Eukaryota; Metazoa; Arthropoda; Insecta; Hemiptera; Cicadellidae. The transcript has 2 exons. The record is from RefSeq and is a predicted model, not a curated record.